RNAcentral lists this ribosomal RNA (755 nucleotides) under Trentepohliaceae sp. Kukwa 19615. RNAcentral's name for it is "SSU rRNA". It matches the Rfam family "Eukaryotic small subunit ribosomal RNA", at positions 273 to 1042 of the family's 1831-position model. Lineage: Eukaryota; Viridiplantae; Chlorophyta; Ulvophyceae; Trentepohliales; Trentepohliaceae. The record is from RNAcentral.
GCGCCGGCGAUGUUUCAUUUCAAAUUUUCCUGCCCUAUCAACUUUCGACGGUAGGGUAGUGGCCUACCGUGGUGGUAACGGGUAACGGAGGAUUAGGGUUCGAUUCCGGAGAGGGAGCCUGAGAAACGGCUACCACAUCCAAGGAAGGCAGCAGGCGCGCAAAUUACCCAAAUCCCAACUCGGGGAGGUAGUGACAAGAAAUAACGAUGCUCCGGCCAUCGGUCGGGUAAUCGGAAUGAGGACAAUUUAAAUCCCUUAUCGAGGAUCAAUUGGAGGGCAAGUCUGGUGCCAGCAGCCGCGGUAAUUCCAGCUCCAAUAGCGUAUAUUUAAGUUGCUGCGGUUAAAAAGCUCGUAGUCGGAUUUCGGGUGGUGCCUACCGGUCCGCCUUUGGUGUGUACUGGUAGGCGCCACCUUUCUGCCGAGGACGGGUUCCUGGGCUUAACUGUCUGGGGCCCGGAGUCGGCGACGUCACUUUGAGUAAAUUAGGGUGUUUAAAGCAGGCUUAUGCUCUGUAUACACUAGCAUGGGAUGACACGAUAGGACUUCGGUCUAUCUUGUCGGUCUGUAGAUCGGAGUAAUGAUUAAGAGGGACAGUCGGGGGCAUUCGUAUUUCGUAGUCAGAGGUGAAAUUCUUGGAUUUACGGAAGACGAACUUCUGCGAAAGCAUUUGCCAAGGAUGUUUUCAUUGAUCAAGAACGAAAGUCGGGGGCUCGAAGACGAUUAGAUACCGUCGUAGUCUCGACCAUAAACGAUGC